This 161-nucleotide unclassified non-coding RNA is filed under the name uncultured Stachybotrys. RNAcentral describes it as "sequence contains ITS2". The record is from RNAcentral. Lineage: Eukaryota; Fungi; Ascomycota.
CAACCCUCAGGCCCCCCGGGGACUGGUGUUGGGGAUCGGCCCGCCCUGGCGCGGCGCCGGCCCCGAAAUACAGUGGCGGUCUCGCUGCAGCCUCCCCUGCGUAGUAGCACACCUCGCAUCGGAGAGCGGCGCGGCCACGCCGUGAAACCCCAACUUCUGAU